This 425-nucleotide ribosomal RNA is filed under the name uncultured prokaryote. Its description in RNAcentral is "bacterial SSU rRNA". It matches the Rfam family "Bacterial small subunit ribosomal RNA", at positions 355 to 774 of the family's 1533-position model. The record is from RNAcentral.
UGGGGAAUCAUGGUCAAUGGGCGAAAGCCUGAACCUGCGACGCCGCGUGAGUGAUGAAGGUCGUAAGAUCGUAAAACUCUUUUCAGGGAUCUUAAAGCCUGUCUGUCAACAACAGGCAGGUCUGACUCUCCCUGGAAGAAGCCCCAGCCAACUACGUGCCAGCAGCUGCGGUAAUACGUAGGGGGCGAGCGUUAUUCGGAAUUAAUGGGUGUAAAGGGUAUGUAGGCGGCCCUUCAAGUCGCGUGUCAAAGUCCAGUGCUCAACGCUGGGUGGGCACGCGAUACUGACGGGCUUGGGGGCUGGAGAGGUGAGCGGAUUUCCCGGUGUAGUGGUAAAAUACGUAGAGAUCGGGAGGAACACCAGCGGCGCAGGCGGCUCACUAGACAGUUUCUGACGCUAAGAUACGAAAGCGUGGGGAGCAAACA